AUGUAGCUGCACACAGCCACCACCUGGAUCUUAGGGAAAUCAUUAUAGUGAUGUAUCUCUAAUUCCCUUGGUUUGAGUUGAGAGAAGGCAACAAGGCAAAACUGUACAGGUCACUGCAACAGUCAGUCUCUUCAAGGCCCACUGGAAAGGCUGUGUACCUUGUACCUUAGCAGUCUCUGCCAUAUACCCUUUCACAAGGGAGCAACUUUGCUUCACUGCCAUAUGCACUCCAGUUCUCCCAAAGCAGGGGUCCUUACCUCAAACUGUAAACCUACAGAGGCUGUCACUUUUCAAGUAGGACACUACCACAGAAAGCACAGAGGAAUUUUUAGUCAAUCUAUCCAGAUCCUACAGAUUACUUUGCAGACUUCUUUUCAGCUGUCAUCUGAGCAAAAUUUCAAAGAGAUGCCAAAGAACCGACCAAAAGUGGAUUUUGAAAAGAUUUAUCAAAGUUGGGCUGUCUAGAGAUACAACUGGAACACCUUCUAUCUGGAACUAGAGACAGGUUGCAAAUUUGCUUGAGCUUAACAAGUGUUCUGAACUACAAGAAACAUGGAUGUUAUCAGGAAGGGCUCAGUUCCCACUCCUGUCUUGCGAGUACCAGUGUUCAUCUCACCCCACAGGAAGCCACAAGAAAAGAACUUACUAUUUUUUGGUAUGGUUUGUUAUCUGUGGACAUGGCAAGCAGCAAUAGCUCACAGAUGUGAGACAGAGCAGAGGAUGGGGAGUUGGACCUGAAGGGGAGGCAGAAGAUACUGCAAGGCAGAUUUUGCUGGUUCAUACUGCCAGGG
Empidonax traillii (willow flycatcher) is the source of this 791-nucleotide long non-coding RNA. RefSeq lists it as uncharacterized. Lineage: Eukaryota; Metazoa; Chordata; Aves; Passeriformes; Tyrannidae. The transcript has 5 exons. The record is from RefSeq and is a predicted model, not a curated record.